CCCUUAGAUGUUUUGGGCCGCACGCGCGCUACACUGAUGCAUUCAACGAGCCUAUCCCUGACCGACAGGUCCGGGUAAUCUUUGAAUCUGCAUCGUGACGGGGAUAGAUUAUUGCAAUUAUUAAUCUUCAACGAGGAAUGCCUAGUAGGCGCAAGUCAUCAGCUUGCGUCGAUUACGUCCCUGCCCUUUGUACACACCGCCCGUCGCUCCUACCGAUUGGGUGUGCUGGUGAAAUGUUCGGAUCGGCCGUUUGUCGCGGUUUCCGCGUCAUGUGGCUGAGAAGUUCAUUAAACCCUCCCACCUAGAGGAAGGAGAAGUCGUAACA
Molecule: ribosomal RNA, 325 nt
Filed under: uncultured eukaryote
Lineage: Eukaryota
Description: partial 18S ribosomal RNA
Rfam family: Eukaryotic small subunit ribosomal RNA
Source: RNAcentral